This 328-nucleotide ribosomal RNA is filed under the name uncultured eukaryote. Its description in RNAcentral is "partial 18S ribosomal RNA". It matches the Rfam family "Eukaryotic small subunit ribosomal RNA", at positions 1470 to 1796 of the family's 1831-position model. The record is from RNAcentral.
CCCUUAGAUGUCCUGGGCCGCACGCGCGCCACACUGGUCGAUGCAACGAGUUUCUUUCCUUGGCCGACAGGCCUGGGCAAUCUUUGAACAUCGAUCGUGAUCGGGAUAGAUUCUUGUAAUUUUUGAUCUUAAACGAGGAAUUCCUAGUAAACGCAAGUCAUCAGCUUGCAUUGAUUACGUCCCUGCCCUUUGUACACACCGCCCGUCGCUCCUACCGAUUGAAUGGUCCGGUGAAGCGUUCGGACCGUGGCCUUUGGACGGUUCGCCGUCUGUUGGCUGCGGGAAGUUCGUUAAACCUUAUCAUUUAGAGGAAGGAGAAGUCGUAACA